GUCCACGCCGUAAACGAUGGAUGCUAGCCGUCGGCAAGCUUGCUUGUCGGUGGCGCAGCUAACGCAUUAAGCAUCCCGCCUGGGGAGUACGGCCGCAAGGUUAAAACUCAAAGGAAUUGACGGGGGCCCGCACAAGCGGUGGAGCAUGUGGUUUAAUUCGACGCAACGCGAAGAACCUUACCAGCCCUUGACAUGGUCGGACGGUUUCCAGAGAUGGAUUCCUCCUAGCAAUAGGUCGACACACAGGUGCUGCAUGGCUGUCGU
This 264-nucleotide ribosomal RNA is filed under the name uncultured bacterium. RNAcentral's name for it is "partial 16S ribosomal RNA". It matches the Rfam family "Bacterial small subunit ribosomal RNA", at positions 793 to 1055 of the family's 1533-position model. The record is from RNAcentral.